CCAGGCCUAAGAAGAUGGCGUUGAGUGCUGGGUCGCCGCUCAGCGGUAGGUGCAACACUCAAGAUGGAUGCUUAGUGUUGAUGCCCAGGCAUUUCCAGUGACUUCACUGAAGAAGUCAGGGCUCAACGGUGAGGUAGCGCUCAGUGGUGGUUGCGAUACUCAAUUCCUCCCCUCAACGUUGGCGCUUGAGCGUUUGACAAAGAUCCAUUCAGCGAAGCUGGCGCUCAGCGCUGUCCCAACGCUCAACGAUGGUUGCGUUUCUUCAUUUGUUACU
RNAcentral lists this long non-coding RNA (274 nucleotides) under Vigna radiata. RNAcentral describes it as "long non-coding RNA (VRAD_LNC017565)". Lineage: Eukaryota; Viridiplantae; Streptophyta; Magnoliopsida; Fabales; Fabaceae. The record is from RNAcentral.